AGCUCUUGAAUUGAGCGAGGGAAAAGGGAAAGUUGGGAAAGUUAAGAGGACCAUCUGGGAGAAAGCCACUGGAGAGAAGAAUGAGGUGAUUCUGACCUCAUUCAAAGUGGCUCAACCCUUUUGUCCUAGUGUCUGCCAAGCAGACCUCAGGCCAAAGAUUCCCCUGAAAAGCCAGGCUCAGCAGCACCCACCAGACCCACUAACUGGAAAAGGGCAAGAAUACACCACACUGGUCAGGGGACCCCAAAGUUCCUCCUCCCUCAGCUUUCUUCUCCCCCUCUGCCAGGGCGCUAAGAACGCUUUAUCAACAUUCAUUCUAUUUUACAAGCGGGCAGCCUGGGAUUUUUGAUGCCCGAACAACAGAAAGGAGUUUUUGAAGUUUCUAGACUUCAAACUGCACCUCACUCUGUCCUUUCUCUGGGCCCCUCUUGUCCUCCGAGGCUCAUCUAAAAAGGAGCUAGAGAUGCUGAAGAGACAGACACUGCAUCUUCCUUGACAACCCCAAAUUAAAUCAGGCUUCAGCCUCCAAGGUUGUGUGCAGAUUUUGCAUUGCUUUGUAAAGCAGCUGCUCAGGAGAGCCACUGGCUGCCACAGAGUUGGGCAAUGAAGAUAAAAGAAGUCCCACUUGGAUGCCACUCUGGUAAGGGCUCGGACCCAGCUAGUCACAGUCGGCAACGGCU
Molecule: long non-coding RNA, 680 nt
Filed under: Homo sapiens (human)
Lineage: Eukaryota; Metazoa; Chordata; Mammalia; Primates; Hominidae
Description: HSALNT0047777
Source: RNAcentral